CAAAUCAUUCAUGUGACAGGGUCAAGGUCUGACUUAGAUUUGACUUCCAAAAUGGCCAAAUUUUCAACAUUACAUAAUUCAGUGAAAUUUCAUUGAUUCUAAAGUAAAAUUUUCUCAGGAAUUCAGAUCUG
Thalassophryne amazonica is the source of this 131-nucleotide long non-coding RNA. RefSeq lists it as uncharacterized. The record is from RefSeq and is a predicted model, not a curated record. The transcript is spliced from 4 exons. NCBI's taxonomy places the organism in Eukaryota, Metazoa, Chordata, Actinopteri, Batrachoidiformes, Batrachoididae.